Non-coding RNA from Lolium perenne, 1120 nucleotides. The record is from RefSeq and is a predicted model, not a curated record. Lineage: Eukaryota; Viridiplantae; Streptophyta; Magnoliopsida; Poales; Poaceae.
UACGGAUACGAAAAUACCCUAAUCUUCGACGAGUCAACGUAUAAAGCGACCAGCACGGCAGCCCCUUCUCUCGUCCUUUCACCUCCUGAUCGUCUCCAGACCUAGGGUCUUGCCGCCGCUACACCAACUGAUCGCCGGUGGCCUGCGCUGCCUCACCGGAGAAGGGAUCCAGCCGUGGAGCAGCCCCCUCCGCCGCCUGCCGCUGGACUGUGCGUGUGCCGGACUGCAGGUAAGGUAAAGUUUCCGGAUCAGAGAAGGGCUCAACACAGAUCGAUGGCCGCUGCGCCGCCGGACCAAUCGCCGGCAAGCAGAUCCCUCCGCCACUGCAUCGCAAUCGCAGGACAGCAGGUUAGUUUCUCCUCUUCCCAUCUCAAUCUCUCGCUUCGUCAUGGUCCUGCACUCCUGCUGGCUGCAACGUAUAUUGGAUUAUUGGUUCUGGAGGAAGCCCUUGCAGUCUGCAAUCUACUAAUCUAGUUCAGUAAAGAUUAAACAUGUCUGGGAUAUGGAGAAAUAGAGGACAAGAUGAACGGAGUGAAAAUAGAAACAUUUGCAAACUAGCAAUGUAAUUGUAAGCAACUAGGUGGAAAAAAGAGGGCUGCACCGUUGCAAUUGACAAGCUUUUUUUGGCAAAACAACUAUAUCACGCGACGUGGUGAUGAUAGGUGACAAGCGAGAGGUGAUAAUCCAUGGUGGUGGCGGCAUGGUGAUGUUCGUCUUCGUGGUUGGCGCGUGGUGAUGCUUAUGACCGGCGUGACUGGCGGUGUUAUGGUGGUAUUCAGCUUCGUGCUCGGCGACAUGGUGAUGCCUGUGACGGGCAUGAACGGCGGUGUCAUGGCGGUGUUCGUCUUCAUGCUCGGUGACGUGGUGAUGCCUAUGAUCAGCGUGACCGGCGGUGUCAUGGUGGUGUUCAGCGACGUCUUCGGUGAUAUUGUAAUGCUUCUGACGGGCGUGAACUGCGGUGACAUGAUGGUGUUCGUCGACGUGGUGAUGUCUGUGACGUGCGUGGCCAGCGGUGUCAUGGUGGUGAUGGUUAUGGUAUGUGAUAGGAAGUAAUCCAUGGCGGUAACCACGUAGGUGUAGGCCGUGGCGGUGUCAUGGUGGCGACGUUUUUGUUGUGCUA